UUAACUCAUAUUUGUAUGGAAUGGGAUCGUUUGCGUACGUUUGCCGCUAGGGGCGCUGUUUCAACUGCAUACAAAAUUGAGUAA
RNAcentral lists this microRNA precursor (84 nucleotides) under Bombyx mori (domestic silkworm). RNAcentral's name for it is "mir-2807 microRNA precursor family". It matches the Rfam family "mir-2807 microRNA precursor family". Lineage: Eukaryota; Metazoa; Arthropoda; Insecta; Lepidoptera; Bombycidae. The record is from Rfam by way of RNAcentral.